AGCUGUGUGUGUGUGUGUGUGUGUGGGGAACACACAGCGAUGAUGAAGGAAUCGUGACGAGGAAAAAAGAAAAGAAAAAGACACAGAAGCAGUGAAAAGGCCACAGCCACCAAUGCUCAAUUACAUGUGUGGUGACAUUUUAACACCGUCUGGAGUUUAAAGCAGAGUAACAGCUUAGCUCAAAACGUGGAGCUCAGCCACUAGAGGAGGAAGAGGAGCAGGCCUUCAUCAGAGAGACACACUGAAAGAUGAACGGCGGCUGUUUGGACGGGGAGAUAAAGCCGACGGACGUGGCGGAGGAAGAGGGAAGUGUGUACACUUUAUUUCUAACAGACGCAUAAAAAAGACACAGGCUAGAUUCUAGAGAUGAACCGAUCUGAUAUUAAUAUCUGUAUUGGCCUGGAUACCGAAAACAAUAUAUAGAUGAGGUAUCGGUGGCAAUGUGCCAGAUCCAUAAGGGCAGAUCUGUUCAGUCUUGUUAAUAUUGUCAAUAUUUUGUGCUUUGAGCAGCGUCA
Xiphophorus couchianus (Monterrey platyfish) is the source of this 515-nucleotide long non-coding RNA. RefSeq lists it as uncharacterized. The transcript is spliced from 3 exons. The record is from RefSeq and is a predicted model, not a curated record. NCBI's taxonomy places the organism in Eukaryota, Metazoa, Chordata, Actinopteri, Cyprinodontiformes, Poeciliidae.